UGCAUACGAUGUUUAGAUGAUAUGUGCCUUCGGGAACCGUGAGACAGGUGCUGCAUGGCUGUCGUCAGCUCGUGUUGUGAAAUGUUGGGUUAAGUCCCGCAACGAGCGCAACCCUUAUCCUUUGUUGCCAGCGGUCCGGCCGGGAACUCAAAGGAGACUGCCAGUGAUAAACUGGAGGAAGGUGGGGAUGACGUCAAGUCAUCAUGGCCCUUACGACCAGGGCUACACACGUGCUACAAUGGCGCAUACAAAGAGAAGCGACCUCGCGAGAGCAAGCGGACCUCAUAAAGUGCGUCGUAGUCCGGAUUGGAGUCUGCAACUCGACUCCAUGAAGUCGGAAUCGCUAGUAAUCGUGGAUCAGAAUGCCACGGUGAAUACGUUCCCGGGUCUUGUACACACCGAAGG
RNAcentral lists this ribosomal RNA (405 nucleotides) under uncultured Enterobacter sp. Its description in RNAcentral is "bacterial SSU rRNA". It matches the Rfam family "Bacterial small subunit ribosomal RNA", at positions 991 to 1396 of the family's 1533-position model. Lineage: Bacteria; Pseudomonadati; Pseudomonadota; Gammaproteobacteria; Enterobacterales; Enterobacteriaceae. The record is from RNAcentral.